AGGGAUGCAGCCCCGCGAGGGUGAGNGACCCCAAAAAGGCCCCCCACGUUCGGAUUGCAGCCUGCAACUCGGCUGCAUGAAGCUGGAAUCGCUAGUAAUCGCGGAUCAGAAUGCCGCGGUGAAUACGUUCCCGGGUCUUGUACACACCGCCCGUCACACCAUGGGAGCCUGAUAUGCCCGAAGUCAGUGGCCCAACCGAGAGGGGGAGCUGCCGAAGGUGGAGCAGGUGACUGGGGUGAAGUCGUAACAAGGUAAC
RNAcentral lists this ribosomal RNA (256 nucleotides) under uncultured bacterium. Its description in RNAcentral is "partial 16S ribosomal RNA". It matches the Rfam family "Bacterial small subunit ribosomal RNA", at positions 1243 to 1500 of the family's 1533-position model. The record is from RNAcentral.